Molecule: ribosomal RNA, 852 nt
Filed under: Panus fulvus
Lineage: Eukaryota; Fungi; Basidiomycota; Agaricomycetes; Polyporales; Panaceae
Description: partial large subunit ribosomal RNA
Rfam family: Eukaryotic large subunit ribosomal RNA
Source: RNAcentral
CGAGUGAAGCGGGAAAAGCUCAAAUUUAAAAUCUGGCAGUCUUUGGCUGUCCGNAAUUGUAUUCUGGAGAAGCGUCUUCCGCGCUGGACCGUGUACAAGUCUCUUGGAAUAGAGCGUCAUAGAGGGUGAGAAUCCCGUCUUUGACACGGACUACCAGUGCUUUGUGAUGCGCUCUCAAAGAGUCGAGUUGUUUGGGAAUGCAGCUCAAAAUGGGUGGUGAAUUCCAUCUAAAGCUAAAUAUUGGCGAGAGACCGAUAGCGAACAAGUACCGUGAGGGAAAGAUGAAAAGCACUUUGGAAAGAGAGUUAAACAGUACGUGAAAUUGCUGAAAGGGAAACGCUUGAAGUCAGUCGCGUCAUCCAGAACUCAGCCUGGCUUCUGCCUGGUGUACUUUCUGGUUGACGGGCCAGCAUCAGUUUUGACCGCUGGAAAAAGGCCAUGGGAAUGUGGCACCUUCGGGUGUGUUAUAGCCUGUGGUCAUAUACAGCGGUUGGGACUGAGGACCGCAGCACGCCUUUAUGGUUGGGGUUCGCCCACAUUCGUGCUUAGGAUGCUGGCGUAAUGGCUUUAAACGACCCGUCUUGAAACACGGACCAAGGAGUCUAACAUGCCUGCGAGUGUUUGGGUGGAAAACCCGAGCGCACAAUGAAAGUGAAAGUUGGGAUCCCUGUCGUGGGGAGCACCGACGCCCGGACCAGACCUUUUGUGACGGAUCCGCGGUAGAGCAUGUAUGUUGGGACCCGAAAGAUGGUGAACUAUGCCUGAAUAGGGUGAAGCCAGAGGAAACUCUGGUGGAGGCUCGUAGCGAUUCUGACGUGCAAAUCGAUCGUCAAAUUUGGGUAUAGGGGCGAA